GAUGAACGCUGGCGGCGUGCUUAACACAUGCAAGUCGAACGAAGCUGUUAAAAGGAAGUCUUCGGAUGGAAUUUUAACAGACUUAGUGGCGGACGGGUGAGUAACGCGUGGAUAACCUGCCUUAUACAGGGGGAUAACGGAGAGAAAUUUCCGCUAAGACCGCAUAAGACCACAGCACCGCAUGGUGCAGGGGUAAAAUAUUAAUAGGUAUAAGAUGGAUCCGCGUCCGAUUAGCUAGUUGGUGAGGUAGAGGCUCACCAAGGCGACGAUCGGUAGCCGGCCUGAGAGGGUGAACGGCCACAUUGGGACUGAGACACGGCCCAAACUCCUACGGGAGGCAGCAGUGGGGAAUAUUGGACAAUGGGGGAAACCCUGAUCCAGCGACGCCGCGUGAGUGAAGAAGUAUUUCGGUAUGUAAAGCUCUAUCAGCA
RNAcentral lists this ribosomal RNA (431 nucleotides) under Lachnoanaerobaculum saburreum. Its description in RNAcentral is "bacterial SSU rRNA". It matches the Rfam family "Bacterial small subunit ribosomal RNA", at positions 28 to 441 of the family's 1533-position model. The record is from RNAcentral. Lineage: Bacteria; Bacillati; Bacillota; Clostridia; Lachnospirales; Lachnospiraceae.